GUGGGGAAUAUUGCACAAUGGGGGAAACCCUGAUGCAGCGACGCCGCGUGAGUGAAGAAGUAUUUCGGUACGUAAAGCUCUAUCAGCAAGGAAGAAAAUGACGGUACUUGACUAAGAAGCCCCGGCUAACUACGUGCCAGCAGCCGCGGUAAUACGUAGGGGGCAAGCGUUAUCCGGAUUUACUGGGUGUAAAGGGAGCGUAGACGGUAUGGUAAGUCAGAUGUGAAAGCCCGGGGCUCAACCCCGGGACUGCAUUUGAAACUAUCAGACUGGAGUGCAGGAGAGGUAAGUGGAAUUCCUAGUGUAGCGGUGAAAUGCGUAGAUAUUAGGAGGAACACCAGUGGCGAAGGCGGCUUACUGGACUGUAACUGACGUUGAGGCUCGAAAGCGUGGAGAGCAAACAGGAUUAGAUACCCCGGUAGUCC
Molecule: ribosomal RNA, 425 nt
Filed under: uncultured bacterium
Lineage: Bacteria
Description: partial 16S ribosomal RNA
Rfam family: Bacterial small subunit ribosomal RNA
Source: RNAcentral